AAGAAAUGAAAGGGGAGAGAAUAAGGUUUUUAGGAGUUGGAGAGCUAGCUUCAUGCUUCGGGGCGGGAAAAAAAGACAGAGAAUUGGGGUUUUUUUUUUCUUCAUAGGAUUUUGGAAAGACUGAGGCAAUCGUUGCUGAAGUCAGGGUUGUACUGGUGAAUCAGAAUUUUUAAUGAAGUAGGUGUGAUUACUCUUGACUUUUCUGUGAAAUUGAAGUUACGUUUGUGAUUGAAAAAUUAAAAGGGUGCCUAUAGGAUUGAGUAUGCAGAGUGAAUGAAAUUUUUUGGGUUAAUGCAACAAGACAAUCAGUGGAUACAAGGUCGUGAGUAUAAAGUGGUAUCGGAGAUUAGCAGAUUGGGUUGUUCGGGGUUCUUUGUAACAUCUACAAACCUACUGGCUAGGGCAAAAAGGACUUUGACGAGUAGUUGAAGGACAUCCGUAUAGAUUUACGGUAUAUUCUUGUAGUUGUUUAUAUUCCAACAGUCAAAAACUGAUAGACUGCCUGAAUAUUAGCGAAUCUCCAUACUACCUUCUACAGUCAGACGCCCAAGGCGUUUACGAGCAAGAAAGCAUGUAAUACGAUAAAAAGUGGUGAACUCGACGUAAAAGCUUGAGGUGGAAGGUAUUGGAUUUCAUUUGAUUUUAUUUUUAUUUUUAUGGAAAAUGAAAAUAAAAAUUUUGAAGGAUCUUUGAGAGGAGUUUCUGGUGGAGAUUCUUUUAAAGGACAAGGUAUGCACAUGGAUCCGUCUAUUGUUAAUAUGUUUCAAGCCUUCUCACUAUCAAUACAGCAACAACAAAGCAAUGAUUGAAAGGAAGCUUUGGCAACCAAAGCAUUGCAAGCAGUGCUUAAUAAAAUUGAUCAAUUUGAUGGAAGGAAUAUUUCAAGGUAUUUAAGAUGUUAUGUUUGUGAAAUGGAAUUAAAUCAGGUUUCUGAGAAGAAAAUGGUUGAAUUAUUUGGACUUGCCACGAUAACGGAGAUAAGAGACCACAUUACAUCGAUUACAGAUCGUUAUGGAAAUUCAUGGGAGGUUUUUUCACAUGCAUUGAAAGACGAAUAUUUCUUGGAAGAUGCUGAUCGCGUUACUAAAAAGCUAUUUCAGGAAUGGAUUGAACGGCCCAAUAAGAAUUUGCAAGCAACAAAGCUACUAAGGAAAUUUGAGAGGCAGUACUCUCAAUUGUCGAAGGUAGAAAAAUUGACAUUGGAGCCGAACAAAGUUGAUCUAUUUCUUCAAGCUGCUGAUGGAGAAUUGCAAGGGAAAUUAGAACUCCUUCUUGAAGACAAAGAAGAAGAUAAAGGAUUGACAACAAAGUGGAAGAACGUUGAAGAUGCGGUGGGAUUGGUUACAAAAAAAGAAAGGAGGAAGGAUAGGAGAAAUAUUCCGAAAACAGUACAAGCAUCCAAAGCUCCAGUACGUACAAUACCACCAACAAUGCCUACAGUUCAACCUUCGACAUCCUUAUCAAAGAAAGCAAAUAUGGGGAUGGAAGAAAUUAUACGAGGAAUGCGAGAUCUUCAAAUCAAAUUGGCAAGACUUGAAGAGAAUACUUCUAUAAAUAAUUUGAAGAAUGUUUCAAAACAAGGAUAUGUACAAAGAUGCAUUUGGUGUGAUGAUGCUUCACACACUAGAAAAGAUUGCAAUGAAUUUAAUAAUAUGAUACGGCAGGGAAUUAUUUGCUCAAAAGAUGGAAAGAUAGCAUUGAAAGAUAGGGAUGAUGUUCUUCAAACCAAUUUUGGCAAGGGAGGAAUGAGAGCAUUGAUUCAAGAUUACCUAAAAGAGCAUGAAACAGCAGCACGAGAAAGUGCAAGUUAUGGUACUAGAGUAGAUGAUGAAAUUGGUGGAAGUAUGGAAACUAGUGAGUUUUGGGCUUCGGCCGUUUCUACAAUGCAAGAAGGGAAAUUACCUCGAGAAGCGUUAUUAAGGACUGCAGCUACAAUACGAGGUGCAACAGGUUAAGAGGAGCUUGUUGAGUCUCUUUCAGUUCAUGCAUAUAUUGCUAAGAGCCAACACGAAGCUUUGAUGGAAGAAAAGAGACGAGAAAAUUUUGAUGAUACGAGAGAAGGAAAUUCUUCUAAGAGGCAAACUCCAAGAGACAAGGCUCAGGAGGCAGCUUCACAAGAAUUGCCUGUAAAGGAUACCUCACCAUCAUUGGAAGAAAAAACAAGGGAGACAAAAGAUAAGGGCAAAUCAAUUGCUUAUAAGCUACUUUCUGACAUUGAAGCGGCAACAAAUUUGAAGGGGUGUUGGAAGAACGUAUAUUAAACACUAAGGUAGAAUUCACAUUGAAAGAAGUCUUGGGAAUUGCAAAGAAGGAGUUUCAUGAUGUUAUCAUUGACAGCAUUAAGUGAAAGAGGCGAUUAAUGGGCGAAACUGGAUUGAAUCAUGCUAUUGAUGCAAGAAUAUAUAAAGAUGAAGAAGAGGUUGAUAUUGGUUACAAGCAACCAACAAAUGAAAAGAAUGGGUAUAAUCAACGAGUACGUUUCGAAGACUAUAGUGAUAAGGAAAUGGAAACUUUGAGCUAUUAUAUUCGAAAGCAUUGGGCAAAGGCAACUACUGAGAUAUUGGUGAAAGUAAGAGAUAUAGAAGAACCAGUUGUUGCUUUAGUCGACCAUGGUUCUGAAAUAUCUAAAGAUCUUUAUAAGAAGCAAAAAUGGCCAAUUGAUAUGGAACAUGGAUGGGCAAUACGAGCAGCUAAUAAUACAUGGGGCGAAUUAUAUGGAGCUUGUCCAGAUGUCAAAAUUCGGAUUGGGGAUGUUGCGAUGGACCAACAUUUCUUUGUUCAAGAUACAACGUCUUAUCCGUUGAUUUUAGGACAACCUUAUAUUACAGCAACAUGGAUGGAAACUAAAGUACUUGACGAUGGUUCUGCUUAUACAAGGGUACGUAGCGAAGAUGGGAGGAAAGUUGUACAAUUUCUAACAAUACCUCCUAACUAUGAAUGGAAUCGAGAUAGGUUGAGGGAGAAACCAUUGCCAAAGAUUAUUGAAAGAUUUAAGAAUUUUGGGGAGGUACCACUAUAAAGCGAGAUUAUAGAGGUACAAAAGAGGAGGUACUCUCGAGAGAUGAAGGUGCCUUUGAUGCGUGUUUUAUUGGUAUUUUGGAGAAUGGAAAUAUUAUGUAUAAGAAAGUUGAUGAUUUUAAAAGAAAAGAAAGAAGAAGAUUAUAUGAUAUUGAAGGACAAUUAUGCAAGUUAGGGACAUUGCAAGAUGAUGAGAGGAUUUUAGGUGUUUAUGAAGAAAAUGGACUUGAAGAUUCAUUGGAAUUGAUUACAUCUAUUGGAUUAGGGGAUAAUGAUAAGAUUGUUGAGAUUCAUUCAAGAGAGGUUUAUACCAUACUUGAAUCUUUUCAAGCACCAGAAGUCACUGUAGAGACGAGAUAUAAAACGGCAGCUAAGAAGGUAAAGCCUGUUGCCGGACCAUUACCAGAAGAUUCUAAAGAACAAAUGGGAGAAGCAUCAAAAAAAGCAAGUUUAAGAGAUCCAAUGAGUAUUGUACAUCAGUUUACUAAAGAGACUUUUGAAGAAUUGAAGAUUGGUUUUGAUGGUUCUAUAUUGCCGGAGGAAAUUACUUGCUUCAAAAAGAUGUUGGCUAAACAAGGUAGAUCGUUUGCUUUCGAAUCUCAUGAAAUUGGGUGUGUGCAUCCAAAUAUUAUAACACCUAUGGUUAUCUUCACUGUACCGCAUGUACCUUGGAAUCUAAGACCGAUUCUAGUAUCGAGGGCACAUUUACCUAAAUUGGUUGAGCUAUUAAAAGAAAAGAUAAAGAUGAAAAUAUUGAAACCCUUGUUUGCACUGUAUUCUAGUCGAUGGUUUACGGUACCUAAGAAGAAUGGGUCACUACAGUUUAUUCAAGAUAUGCAAUCGGUGAAUGCAGUAACUGUCAGGAAUGUAGGAAUUGGACCUAUUGUGGAUGAAUUUACUAAGGCGUUUGCUGGAAGGGCGAUCUAUUCAAUGGGUGACUUGUAUUCAGGUUAUGAUCAAUUUCAACUUACCGAAGGAAGUAGAGAUAUGACAACAAUGAGGACACCACUUGGAUUGGUUAGAAUGUGCACUCUUCCUCAAGGCGCGACCAACUCAGUUGCGCAUAUGAUGAAUGGGAUGAAUAAGGUAUUGAGAGAUUUUAUUCCAAAAAAGACUAUGCCUUUUCUGGAUGAUGUUCCUAUAAAAGGGUGCAGAGAAGGAGACAAGGAUGAAACUUUAGAUACGAGGGGGUGUCGCAAAUAUGUUGUUGAUCAUAUACAAGAUUGUGAAAAGAUUUUAACUUGGCUUGGAGAAGUUCAUCUUACAUUAUUGGGUAUGAAGUCCGUAUUUGGAGUACGAGAGGUUGUGAUUGUUGGACAUUUAUGUGGAUCUUACAGAAGAAAACCAGAUCCGACUAAAGUUGAUGCAAUUGGAAGGAUGAAAGAGGAUUGUGAUUCUUUAACAGAGGUUCGUAGAUUUUUAGGUGCAUGUGUAUUUUAUCGAAUCUGGAUCCCUCAAUAUGCUCACAUAGCGGAUCCAUUAUAUGAACUUUUACGCAAGGACUACUGAUUUAAAUGGAAAGAAAGGCAUAUUCAGGCAAUGCAAAGAUUGAAGAAAUUAUUGAUGUCACCUCCAAUAUUGAGGAAGGUUGAUUAUAAGUGCAAUAGACCAGUGAUUCUUACUGUGGACACUAGUCCAAUUGCCAUUGGAUGGGCUAUGGGUCAAGAUGAUUCAAGUAGAAAUAGAUUUGCAGUUCGAUUUGGAGUUAAAGUUUUAAGUAUUUGUCAGCGUGCAUAUUCGCAAGUCAAAAGAGAACUUUGGGGAGUUGUUUCGGCUAUAAAAGCUGAAAAGGACUAUUUGAUUGGAACAGUAGUAGAAAUUGAAACAGAUUGCUUGCCAUUGCUUGGAAUGAUUAUUAACUAUUGAAUGCGAGAUAUUGCAAUGUUUUGAUGGAUUGCUUAUAUUAAGUCACUAAAUCCAGAAUUUAAGCAUGUUACUGGGAAAGACAAUAUAGUAGGAGACAUGCUAUCUCGAGCAAGAUACAAGAAGGAGGACAAAAUGGUUGAAGACAUUGAUGACAUUGGAUUGAAAUUCUAUUCAAUAUCAAAUCUCAAGAGAGAAGACAAGCUAUUUCUUGAAGAAUCUUAUGAAGGAGGAUUAUUGAAUAUUGGUCAUUACUUGAAUACCUUGACUAAGCAGGGGAAUUGGUCAAUAGAAAAAUUCAAACAAAUAAGAAAAAAAGCAUAUGGAUUUUUGCUUCCAGAUGGAUUCUUAUGGAAGAGACUGAAGAAAGGAAUUGGGAUGCUACAACGAGUGAUAGGCAAAAAGGAAGAAAAACUAAAAUUAUUAAAGGAGUUUCAUGAUAGUUUAUGGGCAAGGCAUAGAGGAAUCUAGGCUACUUUUACUAAACUCAAGGAACGAUAUUGGUGGAAAAAUAUGUAUCGAGAUGUACUCUUAUUUGUAGAGUCGUAUGAAAUUUGUCAAUCGUAUUCUAAUAUUCGACAUUGAGAUGGUCUUCAUCCUACGUAUCUUCUGGCUAUUCAUUUUAAAUGGAUUGUUGAUUUGGUUAUUAUGCCAGUUGGAUUAUGGCAGAUGAGAUAUUUGGUUUUAGCUCGUGAAAAUUUAUCAAAUCAAGUAAAAGGAAGAGCAUUGAGAACAAAAUCUACAGAGGAGAUAUGUAGGUUUUUGCUUGAAGAUAUCAUUUGUCACUAUGGAUGCGUAGGAAAAAUCACUGCAGAUUGUGGAGAAUUAAAUACAUAAGAAGCUCGUAAGUUCUUUGAAAGAUGUGGAGUUAAACUAUCACUGACUAUUGCUUAUAAUCCGGAAGGGAAUGCAAAAAACAAAAGUGGUCACCCAGUGAUUGUGAAAGGAUUAGUUAAAGCUUGUAAUGGGAAAGUUAAAGUGUGGCCACGACUUUUGUCAUUUGAUCGAACAACACAUAGUUCGGUGACAUGAUAUAUGCUAGUAGAACUUAAGAUAGGUCGGAAACCAAUUAUGCGAAUUGAAGAAAAGGUACUUACUUGGAGUAUGCUACCAUGGGAAGAUGGAUUGACAAGAGAAGAACUUCUAGAUAUUAGGAUUUGACAAUUGGAGCAAAGAUCGGAAGAUGUACAAAUAGCAUUGGAAAGAUUAAAAAGAGCAAGGUUAGGAAACAAGGCGCGAUUCGACAAGCAACAUCGAUUGAGACCUAAAGCAAUCGAAGAAGGUGAUUGGGUACUUGUUUAUGACAAUAGUCUGGAUAAUCAACAUAGUACUUUGUGGAAAUUUUUAAAACAUUGGUUUGGACCAUAUGUAGUAACAAUUAUUCAUGAUAAUGCGACUUACUCAUUACGGGAGUUAGAUGGUACAAAAUUGAAAAUACCAAUUGCAGGGAAGUGAAUAAAAAUAUUUAAACGAAGACACAUGGAGAUGAAUAUGGAAGACCUUAAUGAAGGUAUAGAGAUUCCGCAGCAAGAAGAUGAAAGUGAUUUAGAUAAUGAAGGUGACAAAGAUGAACUUGACAAAGACGUACAAAAUAUAUUCUAAAUCAAACAGCAAUUGGGUAAAUUGGUCCAUAUCGGAGGAUGCACAGGUUCGAAAGGGGGUGGAUAUCCUGUUGUAACACGAGUAUACCGUAAAAAUAUAAAGAAAGGGGACUUUUAUUAAUGUUCAGUUACCUCGAAUAUUGGGAGCAACGACCAACUCCAGUGUAAAUAUUGAGAGGCGAGGUUCAGUCACCCCGUUACAGUCAGCCGGGACAUACUGAAAUGUUCCAUUCAAUUCCAAUAACGGAAGUCAGCAGAAAGGAAAAGAACCAAUUCAACGACGGAUGAGCCUGGUUUGAAGAGCCAAUUGGAUCCAAUUUCAAGACAUCCAAUCCAUUUUCUAUUACGGGCCUCUUAGCCAAUCUGAUGCGAAGAACCAAUUUGACCCAAUUACGGGGAACAUCCAGGUCUUACUACGGGCCUCUUAGCCAAUAUGAGACCUGAAUUGGUCGGGCGACUCAAUGUGGUCCCGAUUACGGGGUUUCGAUUUUGUUUCAGGCUGUCCUGUUCUUUGUGUCGUUUUAGGGAACGUUGUUUUCGGUAAAAGGAUCUCUUAAAGGUAAAAACGGAGGAGAAAGCUCUAAUGGCGGAGAUAAUUCUGGAUCCAAGACGGAAGAUUGAAGAAAUUCAGAGGCUAGGAUUUGAAAGAGGGGAGAAUUAGAGUUAAAGGGGUAGAUAGGUUAAGAAAUGAAAGGGGAGAGAAUAAGGUUUUUAGGGGUUGGAGAGCUAGCUUCAUGCUUUGGGGCGGGGAAAAAAGACAGAGAAUUGGGGUUUUUUUUUUCUUCAUAGGGUUUUGAAAAGACUGAGGCAAUCGUUGCUGAAGUCAGGGUUGUACUAGUGAAUCAGAAUUUUUAAUGAAGUAGGUGUGAUUACUCUUGACUUUUCUGUGAAAUUGAAGUUACGUUUGUGAUUGAAGAAUUAAAAGGGUGCCUAUAGGAUUGAGUAUGUAGAGUGAAUGAAAUUUUUUGG
RNAcentral lists this long non-coding RNA (7451 nucleotides) under Physcomitrium patens. RNAcentral's name for it is "long non-coding RNA (PPAT_LNC001861)". The record is from RNAcentral. Lineage: Eukaryota; Viridiplantae; Streptophyta; Bryopsida; Funariales; Funariaceae.